RNAcentral lists this small nuclear RNA (198 nucleotides) under Ancylostoma duodenale. RNAcentral's name for it is "U4 spliceosomal RNA". The stretch from base 1 to 116 matches the Rfam family "U4 spliceosomal RNA". Rfam says of the family: U4 small nuclear RNA (U4 snRNA) is a component of the major U2-dependent spliceosome. The structure of U4 snRNA from yeast and human has been reported. U4 snRNA presents a k-turn RNA motif in the 5p-SL related to recognition of Snu13 protein. Lineage: Eukaryota; Metazoa; Nematoda; Chromadorea; Rhabditida; Ancylostomatidae. The record is from Rfam by way of RNAcentral.
AGCUUUGCGCAGAGGCGAUAACGUGACCAAUGAGGCUUUGCCGAGGUGCGUGCUGGUUGACAACUUUUCCCAAUUGCCCGCGAUGGCCCCUGAAACACUGGAAUAAAUACUAACUCAGAAGCUCGCAUCAAACACUGGUAAAGAAGAUAAAACUACAUGAGGCUUCACGACAGCACAAUAUUGAAACUUUUAUCGAAG